GAGUAAUGUCUGGGAAACUGCCUGAUGGAGGGGGAUAACUACUGGAAACGGUGGCUAAUACCGCAUAACGUCGCAAGACCAAAGAGGGGGACCUUCGGGCCUCUUGCCAUCAGAUGUGCCCAGAUGGGAUUAGCUUGUUGGUGAGGUAACGGCUCACCAAGGCGACGAUCCCUAGCUGGUCUGAGAGGAUGACCAGCCACACUGGAACUGAGACACGGUCCAGACUCCUACGGGAGGCAGCAGUGGGGAAUAUUGCACAAUGGGCGCAAGCCUGAUGCAGCCAUGCCGCGUGUAUGAAGAAGGCCUUCGGGUUGUAAAGUACUUUCAGCGGGGAGGAAGGUGUUGUGGUUAAUAACCGCAGCAAUUGACGUUACCCGCAGAAGAAGCACCGGCUAACUCCGUGCCAGCAGCCGCGGUAAUACGGAGGGUGCAAGCGUUAAUCGGAAUUACUGGGCGUAAAGCGCACGCAGGCGGUCUGUCAAGUCGGAUGUGAAAUCCCCGGGCUCAACCUGGGAACUGCAUUCGAAACUGGCAGGCUUGAGUCUUGUAGAGGGGGGUAGAAUUCCAGGUGUAGCGGUGAAAUGCGUAGAGAUCUGGAGGAAUACCGGUGGCGAAGGCGGCCCCCUGGACAAAGACUGACGCUCAGGUGCGAAAGCGUGGGGAGCAAACAGGAUUAGAUACCCUGGUAGUCCACGCCGUAAACGAUGUCUACUUGGAGGUUGUGCCCUUGAGGCGUGGCUUCCGGAGCUAACGCGUUAAGUAGACCGCCUGGGGAGUACGGCCGCAAGGUUAAAACUCAAAUGAAUUGACGGGGGCCCGCACAAGCGGUGGAGCAUGUGGUUUAAUUCGAUGCAACGCGAAGAACCUUACCUGGUCUUGACAUCCACAGAAGAAUCCAGAGAUGGAUUUGUGCCUUCGGGAACUGUGAGACAGGUGCUGCAUGGCUGUCGUCAGCUCGUGUUGUGAAAUGUUGGGUUAAGUCCCGCAACGAGCGCAACCCUUAUCCUUUGUUGCCAGCGGUUAG
RNAcentral lists this ribosomal RNA (1024 nucleotides) under Salmonella enterica. Its description in RNAcentral is "bacterial SSU rRNA". It matches the Rfam family "Bacterial small subunit ribosomal RNA", at positions 108 to 1128 of the family's 1533-position model. The record is from RNAcentral. Lineage: Bacteria; Pseudomonadati; Pseudomonadota; Gammaproteobacteria; Enterobacterales; Enterobacteriaceae.